GUGGGUUACAUGAAACCCACUGGUGUUCAGAGAGGCUGGAGAAAGCAAAGCAGGGAAAACUCUAGGAUGAGAUAGUUAACAGUCAACAAUUAACAUAACAAUAACAAUGAAGGAAUUUAUAGUCUCCUGUCCAGGCACCCAGGGCAUUUGGUUGUGGCCUGAGGUGUCUGGAAAAAAGGGAAGUUAGAAGUUACCCAGACAUUUCAAGGGUAUGUUAUAGAUGCAAAAAGACAGAUAGGCUCAGUUAAGGUAAAGGUUGACCUUGUUGGUGAAGAUACCGGCCUAAGACAUAACUACCCACCAUAAUUGCUUUUAGUUAAAGUUUAAUUUCAGACCAUCCUUUGUAGUUACUUUAGGUCUCAUUGGGUCAUCUGCAAUUACAAAUACCAUGCAGGUCUUCCUUGAGUUUGUCAGGUUAGCAUGGAGCUCCUUUCAUCAACAUAGCAAAACUGAUAUUAAAGACUCAAACUAUAAGAGCACAUUUAUAAAAUCAUGGAGGUGGAAGAAGUAAUUCGUACAAGAUAGGCUUAGGAAACAAGAUAUAGAGGUAAGGGAAGGGCCCUUGGAGCUUAGAAGUGAGGAAGGUAAAGGUGAUGCAGGGGGCAGGGGGAAGCAAAGGCUUGCUCCUGGGAGGGAGAGCCCUCUGGGUCCCCUAUUCCCAGGGUUUUAAGGAGAUUUAGGGGAGGUCCCAGGGGAAGAUCUCAGUAGAAUCUUCAGCAGCUUUCCUGGUCUGUCCUUUCAGGGUCCUGUCCCCACUGAUUGGUUGGUUGGUGCCAGGGCAGGGGGUCAUUUUUCAAUGGAGCUGGUCCUGAAGUCAGCCAUGGCUUUGCUCCUCUGGUUUUGCUGCUUUUUUGGGCCUGGAGCUAAAAUACAA
Myotis daubentonii (Daubenton's bat) is the source of this 874-nucleotide long non-coding RNA. RefSeq lists it as uncharacterized. NCBI's taxonomy places the organism in Eukaryota, Metazoa, Chordata, Mammalia, Chiroptera, Vespertilionidae. The record is from RefSeq and is a predicted model, not a curated record.